This 503-nucleotide ribosomal RNA is filed under the name uncultured bacterium. RNAcentral's name for it is "partial 16S ribosomal RNA". It matches the Rfam family "Bacterial small subunit ribosomal RNA", at positions 30 to 523 of the family's 1533-position model. The record is from RNAcentral.
AUUGAACGCUGGCGGCAGGCUUAACACAUGCAAGUCGAGCGGGGGAGGUUACUUCGGUAAUUGACCUAGCGGCGGACGGGUGAGUAAUACUUAGGAAUCUGCCUAUUAAUGGGGGACAACAUCUCGAAAGGGAUGCUAAUACCGCAUACGCCCUACGGGGGAAAGCAGGGGAUCACUUGUGACCUUUCUUUAAAAGAUGAGCCUAAGUCGGAUUAGCUAGUUGGUGGGGUAAAGGCCUACCAAGGCGACGAUCUGUAGCGGGUCUGAGAGGAUGAUCCGCCACACUGGGACUGAGACACGGCCCAGAAUCCUACGGGAGGCAGCAGUGGGGAAUAUUGGACAAUGGGGGGAACCCUGAUCCAGCCAUGCCGCGUGUGUGAAGAAGGCCUUAUGGUUGUAAAGCACUUUAAGCGAGGAGGAGGCUCUUUUGGUUAAUACCCAAGAUGAGUGGACGUUACUCGCAGAAUAAGCACCGGCUAACUCCGUGCCAGCCGCCGCGGUAA